AGAGUUUGAUCCUGGCUCAGGAUGAACGCUGGCGGCGUGCCUAACACAUGCAAGUCGAACGGAGUUGCGAGAGCUUGCUUUGCAACUUAGUGGCGGACGGGUGAGUAAUGCGUGAGCAACCUGCCUUUCAGAGGGGGACAACAGUUGGAAACGACUGCUAAUACCGCAUAAUGUAGCGAGGGGGCAUCCCCAUGCUACCAAAGGAGCAAUCCGCUGAAAGAUGGGCUCACGUCUGAUUAGCUGGUUGGUGAGACAACAGCCCACCAAGGCGACGAUCGGUAGCCGACCUGAGAGGGUGAUCGGCCACAUUGGAACUGAGAUACGGUCCAGACUCCUACGGGAGGCAGCAGUGGGGAAUAUUGGGCAAUGGGCGAAAGCCCUGACCCAGCAACGCCGCGUGAGGGAAGAAGGGUUUCGGCUCGUAAACCUCUGUCCUAUGGGACGAAGGAAGUGACGGUACCAUAGGAGGAAGCCCCGGCUAACUACGUGCCAGCCGCAGC
Molecule: ribosomal RNA, 500 nt
Filed under: uncultured bacterium
Lineage: Bacteria
Description: bacterial SSU rRNA
Rfam family: Bacterial small subunit ribosomal RNA
Source: RNAcentral